CGUAUUAGCAGAUGACUAGUGCUACGUAUCAGUCUAACACGAUAAGGAGCUUGCUCCUUUGACGUUAGCGGCGGACGGGUGAGUAACACGUGGGUAACCUACCUAUAAGACUGGAAUAACUCCGGGAAACCGGGGCUAAUGCCGGAUAACAUAUAGAACCGCAUGGUUCUAUAGUGAAAGAUGGUUUUGCUAUCACUUAUAGAUGGACCCGCGCCGUAUUAGCUAGUUGGUAAGGUAAUGGCUUACCAAGGCAACGAUACGUAGCCGACCUGAGAGGGUGAUCGGCCACACUGGAACUGAGACACGGUCCAGACUCCUACGGGAGGCAGCAGUAGGGAAUCUUCCGCAAUGGGCGAAAGCCUGACGGAGCAACGCCGCGUGAGUGAUGAAGGGUGCCGGCUCGUAAAACUCCGGUAUAGGAGAACAUUGUGUAAGUAACUGUGCACAUCUUGACGUAACUAAUCAGAAAGCCCGCCUACUACGUGCAGCAGCCCGGUAAUACGUAGUGCAAGCGUUAUCCCGAAUUAUUGGGCGUAAAGCGCGCGUAGGCGGUUUCUUAAGUCUGAUGUGAAAGCCCACGGCUCAACCGUGGAGGGUCAUUGGAAACUGGGAAACUUGAGUGCAGAAGAGAAAGUGGAAUUCCAUGUGUAGCGGUGAAAUGCGCAGAGAUAUGGAGGAACACCAGUGGCGAAGGCGACUUUCUGGUCUGUAACUGACGCUGAUGUGCGAAAGCGUGGGGAUCAAACAGGAUUAGAUACCCUGGUAGUCCACGCCGUAAACGAUGAGUGCUAAGUGUUAGGGGGUUUCCGCCCCUUAGUGCUGCAGCUAACGCAUUAAGCACUCCGCCUGGGGAGUACGACCGCAAGGUGAAACUCAAAGGAAUUGACGGGGACCCGCACAAGCGGUGGAGCAUGUGAUUAGUCGAGCAACGCGAGACUAACAAAUCUGACAUCUUGACCACUCUAGAGAUAGAGCUUCCCUCGGGACAAGGACAGUGGUGCAUGGUUGCUCAGUCGGUCUGGAAGUGGUAAGUCCCACAAAGACACCAACCCUUAAGCUUAGUUGCCAUCAUUAAGUUGGGCACUCUAGGUUGACUGCCGGUGACAAACCGGAGGAAGGUGGGGAUGACGUCAAAUCAUCAUGCCCCUUAUGAUUUGGGCUACACACGUGCUACAAUGGACAAUACAAAGGGCAGCUAAACCGCGAGGUCAUGCAAAUCCCAUAAAGUUGUUCUCAGUUCGGAUUGUAGUCUGCAACUCGACUACAUGAAGCUGGAAUCGCUAGUAAUCGUAGAUCAGCAUGCUACGGUGAAUACGUUCCCGGGUCUUGUACACACCGCCCGUCACACCACGAGAGUUUGUAACACCCGAAGCCGGUGGAGUAACCAGUAUACGGAGGUAGCCGUGCGUAAAGUAGUAGC
Molecule: ribosomal RNA, 1420 nt
Filed under: Staphylococcus gallinarum
Lineage: Bacteria; Bacillati; Bacillota; Bacilli; Caryophanales; Staphylococcaceae
Description: bacterial SSU rRNA
Rfam family: Bacterial small subunit ribosomal RNA
Source: RNAcentral